GUGUCAGCCGCCGCGGUAAUACGGAGGGUGCGAGCGUUGUCCGGAAUCACUGGGCGUAAAGGGCGCGUAGGUGGCGCGGCAAGUCGGUGGUGAAAGCCCGGGGCUCAACCCCGGGUCGGCCAACGAUACUGCCGGGCUCGAGCAUCGUAGAGGCAGGUGGAAUUCCGGGUGUAGCGGUGGAAUGCGUAGAGAUCCGGAAGAACACCGGUGGCGAAGGCGGCCUGCUGGGCGAUGGCUGACACUGAGGCGCGACAGCGUGGGGAGCAAACAGGAUUAGAAACCCUUGUAGUCC
This 292-nucleotide ribosomal RNA is filed under the name uncultured bacterium. RNAcentral's name for it is "partial 16S ribosomal RNA". It matches the Rfam family "Bacterial small subunit ribosomal RNA", at positions 505 to 796 of the family's 1533-position model. The record is from RNAcentral.